This 22-nucleotide microRNA is filed under the name Pristionchus pacificus. Its description in RNAcentral is "ppc-miR-8217-3p". Lineage: Eukaryota; Metazoa; Nematoda; Chromadorea; Rhabditida; Neodiplogasteridae. The record is from miRBase by way of RNAcentral.
UAAGUGUGGUGCUCUGAUGUCG